RNAcentral lists this ribosomal RNA (433 nucleotides) under uncultured bacterium. RNAcentral describes it as "partial 16S ribosomal RNA". It matches the Rfam family "Bacterial small subunit ribosomal RNA", at positions 29 to 507 of the family's 1533-position model. The record is from RNAcentral.
AACGAACGCUGGCGGCAUGCCUAACACAUGCAAGUCGAACGAGACCUUCGGGUCUAGUGGCGCACGGGUGCGUAACGCGUGGGAACCUGCCCUUAGGUUCGGAAUAACUCCCCGAAAGGGGUGCUAAUACCGGAUAAUGUCUUCGGACCAAAGAUUUAUCGCCUUUGGAUGGGCCCGCGUUGGAUUAGCUAGUUGGUAGGGUAAAAGCCUACCAAGGCGACGAUCCAUAGCUGGUCUGAGAGGAUGAUCAGCCACACUGGGACUGAGACACGGCCCAGACUCCUACGGGAGGCAGGAGUGGGGAAUAAUGGACAAUGGGCGAAAGGCUGAUCCAGCAAUGCCGCGUGAGUGAUGAAGGGCUUAGGGUUGUAAAGCCCUUUUACCCGGGAUGAUAAUGACAGUACCGGGAGAAUAAGCUCCGGCUAACUCCGUG